Non-coding RNA from Pelobates cultripes (western spadefoot toad), 345 nucleotides. NCBI's taxonomy places the organism in Eukaryota, Metazoa, Chordata, Amphibia, Anura, Pelobatidae. The record is from the annotation of a GenBank genome assembly.
UUAAGAAAGAAGUACUCAAAAGUAGUGUUCUAAUUCCCAUGAAAACAUGUCUUCGCUUCAAAUGUUACAGUUGAGACUCAUUUUAAUGCACAGAAAAUAACUCUAAAUUACACUCAGAGAACACAACUUGAUUUAUUAGUUCAGCAAUUUCAAUACCAUAUGUUGGGGAACCACUAGACUGUUUAACUGUUUGUGCUUUGCAUUAUUCUGCCUGGCUUGCUGUGUAGUCUUUUCAAUAGGGAAAAUGUAUUUGAUUUUUUAUGGUGAACUGACUUACUUGUGCCAGUGCGCAACCUCCAGAACUAUCUUGUUCAUUUUGUAAACUAAGAGCAAAAAGGUGCAUUU